CUCUCACAUUCACCUCAGAGCUAAACUCCAAAACACUGACACUUUUUUAUUAAUUAGAUCCGAAGAUCACAC
Molecule: long non-coding RNA, 72 nt
Organism: Sinocyclocheilus anshuiensis
Lineage: Eukaryota; Metazoa; Chordata; Actinopteri; Cypriniformes; Cyprinidae
Exons: 3
Source: RefSeq, a predicted model, not a curated record